UUGGAGGGCAAGUCUGGUGCCAGCAGCCGCGGUAAUUCCAGCUCCAAUAGCGUAUAUUAAAGUUGUUGCAGUUAAAAAGCUCGUAGUUGAAUUUCGGGAUCAAUUUAUCGGUCGUGCCUACGGUAUGAACUGGUACAAUUGGUUUCUCUCUUCUGACGAAGCAUGAUGCCAUUAAUUUGGUGUCGUGGGGAAUCAGGACUGUUACUUUGAAAAAAUUAGAGUGUUUAAAGCAAGCAUUAGCUUGAAUACAUUAGCAUGGAAUAAUGAAAUAGGACGUUUGAUCCUAUUUCGUUGGUUUCUAGGAUCGACGUAAUGAUUAAUAGGGAUAGUUGGGGGCAUUAGUAUUCAAUUGUCAGAGGUGAAAUUCUUGGAUUUAUUGAAGACUAACUACUGCGAAAGCAUUUGCCAAGGAUGUUUUCAUUAAUCAAGAACGAAAGUUAGGGGAUCGAAGACGAUCAGAUACCGUCGUAGUCUUAACCAUAAACUAUGCCGACUAGGGAUCGGAUGAUGUUAAUUUUUUAAUGACUCAUUCGGCGCCUUACGGGAAAC
RNAcentral lists this ribosomal RNA (549 nucleotides) under uncultured Glomeromycotina. Its description in RNAcentral is "SSU rRNA". It matches the Rfam family "Eukaryotic small subunit ribosomal RNA", at positions 548 to 1098 of the family's 1831-position model. Lineage: Eukaryota; Fungi; Glomeromycota. The record is from RNAcentral.